CUUCCAGCGUCGACUCUAAAAAUCGCUCCAGUCGCCCCUCGUGGGCAGGCGACGCUCGCAGACUGUCACCGGGAGUGCCCUGAGCGCAACCGGCAGCCCCACGAUGGGGUUCACAGAUCAAACGCUGGCGGCCACUUCCAGUGUGGUUUUGACAUGAUCGGCCCUGCCGCGAAGCGGCUAACGGAUUUUUGGCGGAACCUGCGGAAGGAUCAUUA
Molecule: ribosomal RNA, 215 nt
Filed under: Lecidella enteroleucella
Lineage: Eukaryota; Fungi; Ascomycota; Lecanoromycetes; Lecanorales; Lecanoraceae
Description: partial 18S ribosomal RNA
Source: RNAcentral